AUGAGGUCCCGGAGGACCAUGCCGCUCUCCACCGUCAUGAGCCGCGCCGCGGCGUCGACGCGCACCGUCCGGUUCAGCCGCGCCGUGCUGAUGAUGGUGCCGUCGCGGCCGCCGGGGCACGCCAGCUUGGGGAGGCUGUGCGAGUGCCUGGUGGCCACCUUGACCUUGUGCUUGGCGGACGCGGCGGACGCCACGGCGGCGAGGAGCUCCUGCUCGGUGCGCGGGUAG
Molecule: ribosomal RNA, 228 nt
Filed under: Triticum aestivum (bread wheat)
Lineage: Eukaryota; Viridiplantae; Streptophyta; Magnoliopsida; Poales; Poaceae
Description: partial small subunit ribosomal RNA
Source: RNAcentral